Molecule: ribosomal RNA, 301 nt
Filed under: uncultured bacterium
Lineage: Bacteria
Description: partial 16S ribosomal RNA
Rfam family: Bacterial small subunit ribosomal RNA
Source: RNAcentral
CAGUAGCCGCGGUAAUACGAAGGGUGCAAGCGUUACUCGGAAUUACUGGGCGUAAAGCGUGCGUAGGUGGUGGUUUAAGUCCGUUGUGAAAGCCCUGGGCUCAACCUGGGAAUUGCAGUGGAUACUGGGUCACUAGAGUGUGGUAGAGGAUAGUGGAAUUUCCGGUGUAGCAGUGAAAUGCGUAGAGAUCGGAAGGAACACCAGUGGCGAAGGCGGCUCACUGGUCCAUUACUGACGCUGAGGUGCGAAAGCGUGGGGAGCAAACAGGAUUAGAUACCCCCGUAGUCCCUGUCUCUUAUAC